This is a long non-coding RNA of Cydia pomonella (codling moth), 1844 nucleotides long. RefSeq lists it as uncharacterized. The record is from RefSeq and is a predicted model, not a curated record. NCBI's taxonomy places the organism in Eukaryota, Metazoa, Arthropoda, Insecta, Lepidoptera, Tortricidae. The transcript has 2 exons.
AUUAAGACUAAGGUUCGGUAUUCAAUUAAAUUAAAUUGAAUCAUUUUUGUUUCGACCAACUUAUUGGAUCAUAAAUUAUAACAAUCGAUACUAAUAUUAUAUAUAUAAUAUUAGCCUAUUGGUGGUGACUUCGACUGAGAAAAUUUGUCCUGGGUUCGAGGCCCAGUGAAGAAACUUAAGUGGUUGUUGCAUUUACUUGGUUUACCGGCGUUGCCGGUUUACCCGCGUUGCCUAUUACAGACAUGCAUUGCGUAAAUUUGGACUAGGCCGAUGGGUUCAGUUUGUUGAUAUUGUAGUUGUAUAAGAAGUAACGGGUUCGAAUCCUGGAACUUAUUUGAUUAGUACUACCUAAUGGCUCCCCAAGUGCACUGCAAUAUUUAUUAGAUUUUGUUUAGUUUUAUAUUAAUUAUGAUUUCUAAAACAAUUCUUUGAAAUUCUGAUAUUUUUGUGAUUUUUCCUUACAAGGUACUUCUACUCGUAUUUCCAUGUAAACAUGUGUCUUUUUUGACUCUUGUGUAACACAGUUUAUUGAAAAAUAUAUGUUUUUGAUUGUACUUAAUACGAAUAAAGUAAGCGGCUCCAGGUUAGAACCCUGCUAAGAAAACGCAUUUGAUUGUUUUUAACAAAUAACUUAGAAAUAUUUUUUCCAUUUCUCAAUAAAUAGAGAUAACCAAGUUAUGGACAGUUCUAAAGUAAAAUCAAUUUAUUAUUCACAAUUACUUAAAACUUUCCCUUAAUGUGUUUAAAUGUUUUUCUUUUCAUUGGCGAGACGAAGUUUACUACCUCCAGCUCCGUUGCUAGCCAAAUAUCAUUGAAGCGGCGGCGGCGUCACCGGCGUCGUUACUGAAUCGAGAAAUGCCUAGCGCAAGAACGAACACGAACCAUGCCACGCUCACGCCAACACAUACGGUAGAUACACGUAAAAUACAAGCAUUUUCAUGCGUGACUACUGCAAAGAACGUCCUUCGUAGAAGUUCGCACUGCUGAAUGAAGAUAAAAUAUCGUUUAAUAAACUAUAAACUGUACAUAAGAAAAUAAAAUACAGAACAGAGCUAGUUUUGGUAUGUAUACUCUUUCCUAAACUUGUGACUGAUAAUAUUAAGCUUAUCUUAUGUGUAUUCUAAGCAUGUUCUGUAUUGUGUAUUCUAAUGUACAUGAAUUAAUUUUGUGUGGUUAUUGGCCAUAAAUCUACAGAUGGACAUGUCAAAGUGGUUAAGUUAGUGAAGUAAUAGUUGUAAAUUGCAUAAGAUCUUUAUAAAAUAACUUUUAAUAUAAUUAUUUAUUAGGAGGCAGGAUAAGUAGGUUUGAUUUAAGAUGUUGAUUCAAAUCUGAUAAUAUCUAAUAUGUAGUAUAAGAUAAAUGAAGGUCACGACUCGAUCUGUUUCGACAUCUAGGGUUGUCAAGUUUGCGGAUCAUACCGGUACGCCCACAAUGAUCGCAAUUCACCGACGUGCCAGUAAGCGCAGAUAAAUGCAACUGAACAAGUAAGUGAUUUAGACCUAAGUAAGCAUGUUACGGACACAUAUGUAAUAAAGGGGAGGUAUGUAUGUGUCGGGCAAACGGUUUGAAACAGGGGGCAGUCUAAGAGGCAUUAGGCAUCCGAAACGAUGAACUACGCCAUCAGAUUUAGUAAAAAGUUUCUAUGUCCACUAUCAUGUGUGCCCUCUUUUUCGCAUAAAGUUGAUUGUCAUAUACUUCGCAUAAAAGUCAUUAUUUUAAUAUUUCAAUUCGCCUACAACCAGUUUUCCUAAUAUAUUUUUCGCAUAUAUUCUUUAGCCGUAUAUAAGUCGACUGAAGUUUGAUUUUUAUACCUAUUAAAAUUUAGGAUGUACCGAUUAUGCGUA